AGAGUUUGAUCCUGGCUCAGAAUGAACGCUGGCGGCGUGCUUUACACAUGCAAGUCGUACGAGAAAUCUUUCGCUUGCGGAAGAGAGUAAAGUGGCGAACGGGUGAGUAACGCGUGGGUAAUCUACGUCCAAGUCAAGGAUAACAUCGCGAAAGUGAUGCUAAUACCGGAUAACAUCUCGCAACUCAGGUUGUCGAGAUCAAAGGUGGCCUCUACAAGUAAGCUACCGUUUGGACAUGAGCCCGCGUGCCAUUAGCUUGUUGGUAGGGUAAUGGCUUACCAAGGCGACGAUGGCUAGCUGGUCUGAGAGGAUGAUCAGCCACACUGGAGCUGAGACACGGUCCAGACUCCUACGGGAGGCAGCAGUGAGGAAUCUUGCGCAAUGGGGAAACCCUGACGCAGCGACGCCGUGUGAGUGAUGAAGGCCCUCGGGUCGUAAAGCUCUGUCAAGUGGGAAGAAACUGCCUUGUGUUAAUACCACAAGGCACUGACGGUACCACUGGAGGAAGCACCGGCUAACUCCGUGCCAGCAGCCGCGGUAAUACGGAGGGUGCAAGCGUUACUCGGAAUUACUGGGCGUAAA
This 582-nucleotide ribosomal RNA is filed under the name uncultured Pseudomonadota bacterium. Its description in RNAcentral is "bacterial SSU rRNA". It matches the Rfam family "Bacterial small subunit ribosomal RNA", at positions 8 to 564 of the family's 1533-position model. Lineage: Bacteria; Pseudomonadati; Pseudomonadota. The record is from RNAcentral.